UUUUUUUUUUUUUUCCAUUCUUUUCAAAAGUACAUGUUCCAAAUACAAUCUUGCAAACUCUCAGCAGUAUUUUUAUUCAAUAUUUCAGUAUUUUCAUAAACAACUUCAGUCUGAAAAAAAAAUGUUAAGAAGCAAAGACAGACUACUUUAGCAGAAGCCAGAAACAAAUCUGAGGACUUUCUUGAGGACUCAUCAGUGACUAAAGGAAGCUCUGCUCAUUUGCAUCACUAUUCUGGUGCUUGAGUCAAAACGAGUGCAUUUUUGUAUUUGAAGAAGUUUCUUAGUGGUUGCAUAUAGAGUAAUGUGCCAGAGAAACUGGGGGAUUUUUCGACAUAUUUGUUUUAUUUAUGAAAUAGACACCUGCUGUUUACUUUAGAUUUCCCUGGAAGCCUUUGUAAGAUUGAGUGAGACAGUGGUUAAUAUCAUAUAUUUUCAAGAUCUUUUUCCUUGGCUGUGUAGAACUGGGCUAUUUGUAAUAAAAACUUUUUAAUUUGUGAAGAAUUUGCUGCUAAAGCUCUCCCAGUUUUUCUCUAAAAGUAGAUUUUCCAGAGCUGACUCACAGGUCAUGCUCUGAUAUAAACAGGGGAAAGACAGCACAGGCCAGCACACAGCAUUUCAACAUAAUAAAAUGUUUCAGCAAUGCAGCUACAAAAAGAUGCUCCCAGUACAGCUCCUGUGAGUCACAAAACUUUCAGGAUUACUCCUUUAUAUGCCAUCCAUCCACACAGAGCAGUCACAGUUCUGGCACAUUCAGUCUGUCCUUCAGGAGGUGUCGGCUGAUACCUCUUCCAUCUAAGGGCUAUUUCACAUGGCUCCUAGGUGUUCCAGCAGCCUGAACAGCUGGAUUGUUUUUUAGAAACCAGUGGGAAACCAUUAGCCUUUUCAUCAACGAUCUCAAGAUUCCUUCAGUGAAGAAAAUUUUGUGGGAACGUGGGUUUAUUUCAACUUAAGACCCAAGAAACCUCAUUGCUUAGCGUUUUAUAGCUGCUGCCCAAUCCAUCUUGCUUUGGAAUACAAGCUGGGUUGCAUUGCAUUGGUUGCAUCAGUCAGCCUUUUCUUAUAAAGGACACCCUGUCAGCUCUCUCUGAAGGCAUGACCGUAGGGCAGAGGGGAUCUGGGCUCCCACACAUGACCUGGCCAUCCACUGCCUCCUCAGACGUAAUGGCUUGACACAGGACAAGGCAGGCUAUGGUCCCCAGGUACUGCCACACCUUCAUUUCAGAAGUUUAGGCAUUAUUGUAGUUAAUACAACUAGUUCCCUGGAGGCAGAGUGAGGAGGACACCGUACUCUCUCAGACCUGAAUCUAUGAAGAAUAGCUGAAAAACUUAUAUAUUAAAAACUCAUCCUGGUCCUUAAGUGUUAAGAAGGUAACUAACUCCUUCAGACACAGUUUGUUACUGCUUUCCAAAGCUGGGCAGCCCAAAUAAGUGCUGCCCUUUGCUCUGGAAUGUCAACUGCUACUGCUAGCAGUGUUUUACUCAACAGUGGUGAGCAUUAAUAACCACUAAUUAGUUACAAUUAAUGGUUGAGAUGGGAAAUGGCUCAAGAGAGUGGCCCUUUCAGGCAGCUGUGGACCAUUGGGUGUAUUGAUGGUCAUACCUGUGUUCUCCUUAUCACAAGAAAUGCAGGAACCACAGGGGAAACAAGUCCAAAGUCCUUCAUUAUGGAGCCAGACUCACAUAAAUGUAGGUACCAAGGUAUCAAGGUGGGGCACAUAUUUUCCAUUUACCUCUUUAGAGAGGCAGAGCCCUUAUUUACUUCACCCAAGACUUUUCCCACUUUAAUACAUGCCCUCUCUUACAUUUUAGAAAACUACAUUUACCCUCUAAUAACACCUGGUAUUUUACUCACAAAAAAAGACCACCUGACAGAAGUGUAAUAGCAUAGUCAGGAGUGGCAGGCUGGCUGCUGGACUUGCACUUUCAGGCUGAAGGACAGUGCUCUUCUUCUCUCAGAUCAAUGUCUUUAGCUACUAAGUGCCAAAAGUGACCAAAAGCAGGGUGGCACAACUGUGGAAAAAAAAUAUAAGGGUUUCCAUUCCCUUAUGUGCUCAUGUAUUGUCCUACAAAGGCCAUUCCAGAAAGUUUGUUACUUUCUGAUCCUUUUUUUUAUUCUAAAUGCCUGUACUGUCAUACAGGCUGACUGAAGUACUGCAGUUAUUAUAAAAUAAUCACAGAAAUUUGGGAGAGCAAUGUUCUUGUACCAGCUGCCUCUGCACAAAUAAUCCUUGAAAAUGUAAAAAGAGCAAAUGUGUGUCAGAUUUUGCCAUGGGUCAAAGGACAAGUUGAAGAAUCAUCUAUGGCUGUGCAGCUGCAAACAACAGCAGGGAGCUCUGACAGUCCUGUGCUCUUUCAGAAGACCUCUUGUCCCAGGUUUGUAUCACAUGAAUUAUCACAAUUAUCAUGAGACACUUUACAGGCUAUCAAGGUACUUCAUGACAUUAAGCCCUUCUUUAGUCAACUCUGUCACCAAGGCAACAGAAGUGCACUGUCAAAGUGAUAUAUUCCAUGCUCAGGUGUUCGCCAUGCUAAAUGUGAUCUUGUCAGGAGUGGAUGAACUGAAGUGAUUAAACUUUUGGAUGAGUCUGAUUAACUGAUUAGUCUACAAUCAAAACAGCUCUUUUCAAAAUUGUGCUCUAUGUCUUCGAAGAAACAGAGAAAAUAUGGCAUGAAUUGUAAGGUAUACUUCUCCCCGUGAAUUAGUUUUUGCGGUAUUUACAUCAAAAUCACAUUACUAUGGUGUUCAGUGAAACUUAGAAGCCAGAAAUUGCAUAUAUGUUAUCAGACUAUAGGAAAAGGAUUAAUGGGGAGAUUUUCAUAAGGUUGCCUUGAAGGCAUAAGAAGAAAAAACAUCAUAUCAAGCUUCUUGUGAUUUGUGGUUAUGAGUGCUUAGUCAUGAAUGUAUGUAUAGCUUUAGCACCAUGUGGCUAUGAGUGCAUAAAAUGGCAUUUGCAUUGAUAUCACCAGUUAGAAAAUCAAGUCCACAAUUAAGACAGAAAUAGAUUUUAAUUACAAAUGAAGGUUAUGUAAGUGUAAGUGCAGAUGGAAUAAUUAGGGCCUUUACAGUGAAAUUCUGAAUGCUUGUUCAUGAAGACAUAAGAAGUUAUAACAACAUCUGGUUCAAUAAGAGAAUAGAAUACUCUUUUCAUUUUUAAGUACCUGCUAAUGUGAAAAGAAAAUGUCUCUGAACUGGAACACUUGCAAAGUGCACACACUGCACUUUGAAAGACAUAGCUGCAUGUUGUUUAUUUAUUCAUGUUGAAUGUUUUAAACUAAGGCAUGACAAGCAAUGCAUAAAGAAGUAGAUCAACUAAUUCAAUCCUUUCCACUGUGAGUCAUGUUAUCCAGGCUGCACAGGGAAAACAAAGUGACACCUUGCUGAAAACCAGCAGACAGCACAGAGACCACCCCUUUACAAACACUUCACUGAAGGAUGUCCUUUAGAAGCUGGAGUUUUUUGCAGUUUUGAUUGUAUUGUAGUAAGAGAAACUGUAAUUCCUUUUUAGCCUCUGCUUAUGACUACAGCAAUUUGCCCAGUUUUUUUUUUUUUUGUUUGUUUUUUUUUUGGUUUUUUUUGAUAAAAAAGGGUACAUCAGUUCAGAUCACAGUUACUGUGAUUCUUUGAUUACAAGUCAAAUCCUAAAGUUUCAUAGUCCAUGA
Taeniopygia guttata (zebra finch) is the source of this 3660-nucleotide long non-coding RNA. The record is from Ensembl. Lineage: Eukaryota; Metazoa; Chordata; Aves; Passeriformes; Estrildidae.